AUGUUAGACAUCAACUUAUCAAUCCUAUGUUGGAACGUUCGUGGACUAAACAGCCCUGACCGUCGUGCGACAGUACAUGAGACUAUUGCUUCUUCCUCAUGCCAUCUAGUUUGUAUCCAAGAAUCCAAACUCCAAUCCAUCGACCAGUUCACGGCUGCGUACCUCGGAGGUCAGCGUCUAAAAUCCUUUGCCCAGCGUCCUGCUGAUGGUACAAGAGGGGGUAUCUUGCUCCUUUGGGACGACAAUGUUGUGUCCAUUACCAAUGUACAGAUUGGUGCUUACUUUCUUUCGGCCUCUGUUUCCAUGAAAAACUGCAACCAUCCACAAUCCUUCAAGCUUACUACAGUUUAUGGCCCUACUCGCAACAAUCUCAAAGACGCUUUCUUCCUUGAGCUAAACUCUCAAAAGCCUCCUGUAGGAACCAAGUGGCUGGUCAAUGGUGACUUCAACCAAAUCUACAGGGCUAGAGAUAAAAACCGUGCAAAUGUAGAUCGCUCUCGACUGGUGAGAUUCCGCAACGCACUCAACUCCUGCGAGCUACAGGAAAUCCCCUUGCAAAAUAGGAAAUUCACUUGGAGUAACGAACAAAGCGAUCCAACGAUGAGCAAUCUUGAUGGUUUCUUCUGUAACGAAGAGUGGGAUGUCGCUUUCCCUACUCACAUUCUUCAAGCCCUAUCAUCUUCGCUCUCGGAUCACUGCCCUCUCUUGCUUGCCAAUGCAUCUGGACCGAAGAGACCCAAAUCAUUUCGUUUUGAGAACCACUGGAUCAAGAUGCCUGGGUUCCAGCAGGUUGUUAGUGACUCCUGGAAUGAGGAUUCUCCCCAUGGUGAGCCCUACCAACGGCUUUUCCAUAAGCUUAAGAGAACAAGUAGGAGGUUGCGUACUUGGAGCAAAAAAUUGUUCGCUGCUUCUAGACUCCAACUCCAUAUGGCACUGGAAAUCAUCCUACACCUAGAUUUGGCACAAGAACGUAGAGACCUCUCUCCUGACGAGAGGGACCUUAGGAAGAGACUAAAGAGGAAGGUCAUUGGCUUGGCGGUCCUGGAGAAGUCUAGAAAGCGUCAAAAUUCCAGAGUUACCAACCUUAAG
RNAcentral lists this ribosomal RNA (1089 nucleotides) under Triticum aestivum (bread wheat). Its description in RNAcentral is "partial small subunit ribosomal RNA". The record is from RNAcentral. Lineage: Eukaryota; Viridiplantae; Streptophyta; Magnoliopsida; Poales; Poaceae.